Ictalurus furcatus (blue catfish) is the source of this 2009-nucleotide long non-coding RNA. RefSeq lists it as uncharacterized. The transcript is spliced from 4 exons. NCBI's taxonomy places the organism in Eukaryota, Metazoa, Chordata, Actinopteri, Siluriformes, Ictaluridae. The record is from RefSeq and is a predicted model, not a curated record.
AGUGCCUAGAUGGUGCUGGUGAGCACUGAGAGCUGUGGGAAUGGUACAAAACUGCAGACCUCACAGUUUCAGCUCACAUUCAGGGGUGACAGGUAAGAGGAGUGCUCACAGUCAGUUCUCAUCAUGCGUGGCAGGACUAAAUCAUUAUGAAUACACUGAAUACUGAUUUUGGGGACAUCAAGUCUCUCUAACUGCUGUGGAUCUUUGCUUCUUACAGAAAAGGCACAAUCUCAGCAGCUGGUCAUAUUAAGACAUCCGGAGCUGAAGGAGCAUUGCUUAAGCUGACCCAGGGAUUGAGAGAUGAAUCUAUGGCCUAUAUUUACCACUGUCAGAACCACUACUUCUGUCCUGUGGGCUUUGAAGCUACACCAUUAAAAUCAGCCAACGCUUACAGGGGACCACUUGCUCUGAAUGAAAUGGAGCAUUGGAUUCUUAUUGGGGAACCAAGCAGGAAACAUCCUGCCAUCCACUGUAAAAAAAGUACCUUUUCCUUUUAUUAUUCAACUGCAUAUGAUGAUUAGUCAGUGUGGGUUACUCUGUGUCAUUAUGUUCUCCCCAUGUCUGCAUGGGUUUCCUCACCCCCCCGUAAAAAAAAACCUAUCCUGGUAGGUGGAUUGGCUACACUUCACCCACUAAGUGUGAAGGUGUGUGUGUGAUCCACCACCCAGGGUGUAUUCUUGCCUCACGCCCAGUGUUCCUGGGAUAGGCUUCGGAUCCAAAGACCUUCUGACUAAUCAGAUUCAAACAUUUUAAAGUUGCUACUGCUAAUACUAUUUUAUAUUAAUAAUAUAGUAUUAAUAUAUUAUUAAUUCGUUAUUUUCUUAGUAAAUACUGACUUCUUAGACCAUCUGUCAUUUUGUGGGCUAUGUCUCAGAGAACAAAAUAUACAGUUGCAGUCACGGGUGUUAAUCUAGAUGCCAUGCAGCUGUGCCCCACACGCUGGAGUGAUGCAGAUGCUACUGACUCUUACACAACUCUUUAACUGUCAAACAUGAAAAAAACAGAAAAGCGUGAAGAGCCGUUUUAAAGGCCUUGUGCUGUGGUUAGAGUUCUGCUGGAACAGAGAAGCAGCUUAAAUACACAGAACAAAUUUACAUAACACUCCUCAACUGUAGUUGAUGAGUCUAAUUCUAAAAUGAAAAAUUUAACCUCAAGCUAAUGGUAGUGAUUGAAGAGAAAAUCAAAAUAACUUUUUAGGAAUAUUUGAUCUGAUUUAUUGAUUUAUUUCCACAAAGCCUUCUUCCAAUGUCAUUCAUUGCAUUGCAAACAUUAAACAAACACUUCAGGGCACAGUGAAGACGUGAUAAUGUUCAUCACAAGAAAAGUGAUACUGCUUAUUUUUCACACGAAAACAUGAGGAAACUGAAAGUUUUACAGUCUUUAUAGUCUUGAAUGUAUAAUUAUAGUCAAGCUAUUAGUCCUUAACAGCAUUCAAAACAGUGUUACUGUGAAUGUAGACUUUAAUACAUUGAAGACACACUAUAUUAUAUAUUAUAUGUAUAUAUCUGCCCACGUUUGACAUUUUUCCUCCAUUCUUUUGAAUGUCCAUGGAAUAAAAUAAAAUAUCAGAUGCCAUGAGUGAACCUUCUGCCAUCAUUUACCCAUUUGAAUGGCCAUGUAAUAUGAACCAAUGUGAUAACAUGAAAUUAAAAAUUACCUUACAUAUGGCCAUGGGCAUUGUUUCAACUCAGGACAGCUGUCAUUUGCUGCUAUUGUCAAGCAACUGACGCCGUACACUUUGGACAUUCGCUGAGAAUAGGCUAAUGGUUGAGAGGCAGAAAUUUAGCCAAUAGUUGUUGCAAGCCUUUUAUAAUCAAUAUUGCUGAUGUUCACAAAAUAAAUUUAUUUACUCAAAGGGACAACAAUUUACUAAACUGUUAAUUUUAUAAUAUAGAAUUAUAAUAUAGAAUAAUUUAAUAAUGUAAUAUCUGUAUUUUACUGUAAUAAUGUAAUAAUAUAAUAAUGGAAUAUCUGUAUGAUACUAAAUACUAUUAGUUUUAUUAUUAUUA